RNAcentral lists this unclassified non-coding RNA (1279 nucleotides) under Leishmania donovani. RNAcentral describes it as "gene:LdHU3.16.0170(CDS-product:eukaryotic_transla tion_initiation_factor_1A_putative)". The record is from RNAcentral. Lineage: Eukaryota; Euglenozoa; Kinetoplastea; Trypanosomatida; Trypanosomatidae.
CUGAUCUCUACCACCGCUAACAAACGCUAUCACUCGCCGCCGCUCUUGUCCUCCUCCCAUUUUCCGUUGUUCACCCUCGUACGUGCAUCCCCAUUCUCAUCUCCACAAUAAGAGGCGGCCGUCCGCUGGCUGAGCUUCUUUCCUUCCUCCUGUCGGUAUCUGACUCCCCCUCUCCCGCCAACAUUCUCUCGCGAAAAUGCCGAAGAACAUGGGUAAGGGCGGUAAGUCCUUUAAGGCUGGUAACUCGAAGGGCAACAUGCAGAACCAGAAGCGUGACCUCACCUACGCCAACCCCGACGAGGGCGAGGAGUACGCGCAGGUAAAGAAGGCGCUCGGCAACCUCCGUCUCGAGCUCCAGCUCGCCGGUGGCUCCACCGUCAUCGGCGCCAUCCGCGGCGCCAUGGUGCGCAAGGUGUGGAUCGGCCAGGGCGACGUAGUGCUCGUGGCAAAGCGCGAAUUCAAUGAGAACGACGUAGUCGACAUUAUUCACCGCUUCACCCCGGCCGAGGUCCGCUUGCUGGUGAAGGAGAACGCCAUCCCGCGUGACUUCCGGUCAGCCGAGGAGCGCGAUAACAACGGCAACACCGAUUAUAUCUUUGUGAACGACGAGGAUGACGCACAGAACGACGACGAUGACCAGAAUGCGAUCGACCGUAAUGAGGUCAUCAUGGAUGACCCCCUCGCGGCCCUCGACAACCUCUAAAAUUGCUGUGACCUCAAAGGGAGACUGAAGAAAUGAGUCAAACAAUGCCAGAAACGAAGAAGAGGCCCCUCCCUCUCUCCUCCUCUACACACACCCCACACAGAGACAUGCUUGCGUGGGCUCAUGCUUGUAUGGAUGUAUGUGUGUGCGUGUGUGGAGGGUUAGGAGGGGAGGGAGGGCCUUUCUUCCUUGCACGGAGCCCUUUUAUCACGUGUCUCUCUCGUCAUGUUCGUGUAUGUCGGUGGUUCGUUUACGCGCUGGCGUUCCUUCGUUGCCUCUCCCUCUGUUGCGGCUCUUGUCACGGUGCCCCGUUCCUUCGUUUCUGAAGACUAACUUGUUCCUUUUUUUUUUGUCUCUCGGUGUAUGCGUCUGUGCUGAUAGAGUCGUGUUCCUCACUCCCUCUAUCACACACACACACACACACACACACACACACACACGUCAACUCUGUGUGCGUGUGCGUGUGUGUGUGCCUUUCUCUUGUCGUAUCUCCUCUUUGGCCAGACUCUGUAUGUCGCUCCUUCCUCUUCUUAACGCAUCUGUAAAGGAGCACGGUGACGGGCUUUCCAUCUCAUG